This 3039-nucleotide long non-coding RNA is filed under the name Ricinus communis (castor bean). Its description in RNAcentral is "long non-coding RNA (RCOM_LNC001451)". Lineage: Eukaryota; Viridiplantae; Streptophyta; Magnoliopsida; Malpighiales; Euphorbiaceae. The record is from RNAcentral.
GCAUAUUACUCAACAGUCACCCUUCUUCUACAUAUUCUUAAUACAUUUUCCCUUUGUUUCAUUUUUCUUUCUGUUUUUUUUUAUUUUUUCAACUUCUGCAAAGCAAAGAUUACUUGGAGCCAUGUUCAUCUCCAGAGCAAGUGCCAGGCAUGUCUCUCUAUCUCUAUCUAACAAGCACACAUUUCUGUCAUUAUAGAAUAUUAAAUUUUCUUGUAUAGUAAUAAAAUAUGAAUUUAGUAACUUUUUACAGCUUAUCUUCUUUUGUGAGCUACUGCUCUUCUUCAAGCAACCCAAAUCUGAUGCUUGAUUCCACAUAGAAACUAAAGGGUUGACAGAGAUACAGUUUAGGACUUUAAUUUUGACGAAUGACUUAUAGUUGAGUAUUAUACUUAAAAAUAUGAUAAUACUAGCACCUUUAAAUUUGCUGACAACUUGAGUUAGCUAUUAAUGUUUGGUUCUGUCUUGAAAUCAUUUUUUCUAAGAACUAAGAGGUGUGAUAUAAAUGUACCCAUGCAUGUAGGGUAUGAUGAACCAGGUGGUUGACAAAAAAAAUCGAUCAGAACCGAAAUCGGUCAACACUGAACUAAGAAAAUACUUAAUAAUUCGAUGGUUUCAGUUUUAGUUUUGAGUCUUAAUUUCAAGUUUGGUUUGACAUAUCGGUUAACACAAAAAUUAACUGAGAUCAAAUCAUUUUUAAUGGUUAAUUAAUAAAAAUAAUCCAAUCUUAGAUUUCAAAAAUGACAGAAUUGAUAAUUAUAAAAUGGCAUAACUGUUCGAUUAACUAAAUAGUAACUAUUUAUAGUAUAAAUCAGCACUUAAUAUAUUGUUGAUUUAUGAUGUAAAAAUAUUGGUAAUUGAUUCGGUGUGACAUGACACCAUUAUCACGUAUAUUUCAAGCUAUUAGAUUUGUUAGAUUUGAUUACAAUCGUUGGAUAUAAAUUUAUUAAAAAAAAUAAUAGAUUAUUUUUUUAACGAUUAUAUACAAUAAAAGUACAAAAUAUAAUAAUAUUUAUUUUUUAUUCCAUUGAUUAUAUAAAUUUGAAAUAAAAUUAAUAAUUUUACUUUUAUUGAAACUCCGAUAUUACACGACACCAAAUAGUAAUUCAGAAAUAUUGGUAAUUUCGUAGGAGGUUAGUUUUUUAAAUGAAGUUUGGAUAGUGUGGAUGCUUAAUUUACCUUGGCUUCUCUAUCUACUUUUAACACGUAUCUAGAUCCAGCAAUAAACUAGAAUACUUGAACUUUUAACCCUCGGUUUCCCGUUUAGAAUCGGGGUAGAAAAAAAACACUUUUCAGUUUUGCUUUUAGAGAAAAAUUGGUAAAUUUAUGCUUGUUCUUCAGGAACAUAAUAAAAUUAGUUUAUAAAAAAAUUAAAUAAUUAAAUAAAAGAAAUUCUAACCCUACUAUUGAUCGAUUACAAUAGUCCUAUAAAAGACUGGAGGUCAGAGUGUAAACAACGAUAAUUUUUCGAUAUGCAUACCAAAGAGAAAUUUCAUAUGAAAGUAAAACUUUAAUAUUUAAAUUAUUUUUCCUUCUGUAGCUAUUUCCCACAAAGUCACCUUGAAAUCCUCUUUUAUUUCAAGUUGCAAACCAUAGAAGAGACAACGAAUUGUAUGAUAUUCUCAAAAUACAUUUGAGUGUCUUUUGUAAUUGUAUGGUAUUUCUAAUAUACAUUUCUCUGCAUCUUUCCCCUUCUGAUUCUUAAGUCACAAGCCAUUCACUGUACUUUUCUCAGCUUUCAUGGGAAACACACCAAAUUGUUACGUCAUGGUUGCUACUGAGAAACCAAAGGACUUCAGAAAUGCCUUGAUAGUACUUUUAGAUCUUUGCCACCUCAAUAAAUAUGCUUUCUGUAUAGGCAUGUUUUGCCAACCAACUGUUAUUCUAUAACUCAACAAUAUUUGCUUAUUCUUCACCAAGUUUUAGUGAAUGAUGUUAUCGUAAAUACACGCACCAUCAAGACGAGAAAUCAAUAAACCCUGCACAAUGUAGAAGAAUUAGUAAUGUUCUCUUCUUCAGAAACAUGCCUUGAACGGAUGGAGUGUGUAACCGAGUUCAUUACCUGUGAAAAAGGCAGGUUCACUGACAACUAGCUUAUGUGAGGGAAGCCCCGACUCUGGCUGGUCUUAGACUCCUUUGAGCCCUUCGUGCAUAUUCAAAUACAAAUAUAAAGAGACUGAAGAUGUAUACCAGGCAUACAUGUAGCUUAUCUAUUAUGCCACAUCUUGAACGGACAUUGUUUCCACCCUCUGAACUUGUCUUGCAAAGUGAUAUCCCUGUCUCAAACCAGCCUGACAAAAUAACAAUGAAAAUUAUCACAAGAUGGAAGUUACAAGUUAACUACAGUUCAUUGCAGUAGACAGUUAGAGCCAUUCAACAUCUUCUUAAGAGAAAUAGUUCACUGGCUGAGUUUUUCUUUCAUCUGUUCCCUCUUUUAUCUUCAGUUCACUUAAUAACAGGCAUGUAUAAACUGCUAGCUAGGAAGGUGGCAUCCCUUCUUGGAAGGAUGUUAAGGUGUUGCAGCACUAGAAUCCAUGUGGAUUACACAGGAUUCUAUGAUUUAUCAUUCUUUUCAUCCUGACCCUUGCUCUUUUUAAGAAAUACGAUGAAUAUAAAAUGUAGGAAGAGGAAACUUAAGCAUUGACCCUAUAGGCAAAUAAAAUGCUUUAUCUUAAGGUUAAGGUGGUUUCUAAGUCCCUCAGUGGGUGCACAAAAGAAAAACCUUGACGCUUACCAGGAGUUUUCUGGGGCAGAUUAUUCCAAUCAUGAGGCCUAAUUUUUGUUUCAGUUGUCGUGAUCAAGUCAUGAAGAGCUUGAUUGACCUGCAAUUUUCCAAGACAUGAUGAAUAUGGGUCCAUUUCACUGCGAUUUCAGAGAGAAUAGUCUGAAAAUGCAAUCUGAUCUACUUCUGGGAAUUACUACAGCUAUGUUUAGUAAUAAAUAUUUCUAUAUCGCAGAUUUUCACCAUCGCAAGGAUUCAAUGGCCUACACUACUCAAAAUCUAUCAUACAAGUACAAAAAUACCUCCUCGGUCCUCUCAUG